CGUUUUUUGAUUAUAAUUUAAGAUUUAUUCUGCUCAAUGAAAAUUUAAAUAGCCGCAGUAUUUUAACUGUGCAAAGGUAGCAUAAUAAUUUGUUUAUUAAUUGUAAACUGGAAUGAAAGAAUAGAUAAAAUAUUUACUUUAUUAAUAUUAUAAAUAUAAAGUUAAUUUUUUAGUAAAGAAGCUAAAAUUUUUUAUUGGGACGAGAAGACCCUAUAGAAUUUUAUAUUAUAAUGAAUAUUUUAAAUUAAUAUAUUUUUAUAUAUUUAUUAUAGUAAUUUAUUGGGAGGAUAAUUAAAUUUUUAAACUUUAAUAUAAUUAACCAAAGAUAAAUGAAGAUUAGAUUUUAUAUAUAAAAUUUUAGAAAAAUUACCUUAGGGAUAACAGUGUAAUAUUUUUAGAAAGUUCUUAUUGAUAAAAAUGUUUAUAACCUCGAUGUUGAAUUUAGAUUAAUUUAAAUAGAAGUUUGUUUAAGUUUUAGUCUGUUCGACUAUUAAAAUCUAACAU
RNAcentral lists this ribosomal RNA (504 nucleotides) under Sclerodermus pupariae. Its description in RNAcentral is "partial 16S ribosomal RNA". The record is from RNAcentral. Lineage: Eukaryota; Metazoa; Arthropoda; Insecta; Hymenoptera; Bethylidae.